This 492-nucleotide ribosomal RNA is filed under the name uncultured bacterium. Its description in RNAcentral is "partial 16S ribosomal RNA". It matches the Rfam family "Bacterial small subunit ribosomal RNA", at positions 29 to 507 of the family's 1533-position model. The record is from RNAcentral.
AGUGAACGCUGGCGGUAGGCCUAACACAUGCAAGUCGAACGGCAGCACAGUAAGAGCUUGCUCUUACGGGUGGCGAGUGGCGGACGGGUGAGGAAUACAUCGGAAUCUACUUUUUCGUGGGGGUUAACGUAGGGAAACUUACGCUAAUACCGCAUACGACCUACGGGUGAAAGCAGGGGAUCUUCGGACCUUGCGCGAUUGAAUGAGCCGAUGUCGGAUUAGCUAGUUGGCGGGGUAAAGGCCCACCAAGGCGACGAUCCGUAGCUGGUCUGAGAGGAUGGUCGGCCACACUGGAACUGAGACGCGGUCAAGACUCCUACGAGAGGCAGCAGUGGGGAAUAUUGGACAGUGGGCGCGAGCCUGAUCCAGCCAUACCGCGUGGGUGAAGAAGGCCUUCGGGUUGUAAAGCCCUUUUGUUGGGAAAGAAAAGCAGCAGGUUAAUACCCCGCUGUUCUGACGGUACCCAAAGAAUAAGCACCGGCUAACUUCGUG